GAUGAACGCUGGCGGCGUGCCUAAUACAUGCAAGUCGAGCGAACGGACGAGAAGCUUGCUUUUCUGAUGUUAGCGGCGGACGGGUGAGUAACACGUGGAUAACCUACCUAUAAGACUGGGAUAACUUCGGGAAACCGGAGCUAAUACCGGAUAAUAUUUUGAACCGCAUGGUUCAUAAGUGAAAGACGGUCUUGCUGUCACUUAUAGAUGGAUCCGCGCUGCAUUAGCUAGUUGGUAAGGUAACGGCUUACCAAGGCAACGAUGCAUAGCCGACCUGAGAGGGUGAUCGGCCACACUGGAACUGAGACACGGUCCAGACUCCUACGGGAGGCAGCAGUAGGGAAUCUUCCGCAAUGGGCGAAAGCCUGACGGAGCAAAGCCGCGUGAGUGAUGAAGGUCUUCGGAUCGUAAAACUCUGUUAUUAGGGAAGAACAUAUGUGUAAGUAACUGUGCACAUCUUGACGGUACCUAAUCAGAAAGCCACGGCUAACUACGUG
This 497-nucleotide ribosomal RNA is filed under the name uncultured bacterium. RNAcentral's name for it is "partial 16S ribosomal RNA". It matches the Rfam family "Bacterial small subunit ribosomal RNA", at positions 28 to 507 of the family's 1533-position model. The record is from RNAcentral.